UUUGAGUGUGAAUAAGUGAACUAAAAUUAUUAUAAGUUAUGGUCUUUAAAAUUAAAAAAUUUGGCGGUAUUUUAGUCUAUUCAGAGGAACCUGUUUUUUAAUUGAUAGUCCACGAUAAUUUGUACUUUAACUUUAAAUUUAUAUAUCGUCGUUAAUAAAAAUUUUAGGAAAAUUUAAAUUUUUAGUAUUUUUUAUUAGAAUUGAAUUCAGAUCAAGGUGUAGUUUAUGUUAAAGUUAGAAUGGGUUACAUUAUAUUUAUAUGUGGUUUUUUAAUUUAAAAUUAAAUUUAAAAUGGAUUUGAUAGUAAAUUCUUUGUUUUUGAGAGUUGAUUUAGCUCUAAAAUAUGC
Molecule: ribosomal RNA, 347 nt
Filed under: Eleodes mexicana
Lineage: Eukaryota; Metazoa; Arthropoda; Insecta; Coleoptera; Tenebrionidae
Description: Eleodes mexicanus partial 12S ribosomal RNA
Source: RNAcentral